Molecule: non-coding RNA, 340 nt
Organism: Podarcis muralis (Common wall lizard)
Lineage: Eukaryota; Metazoa; Chordata; Lepidosauria; Squamata; Lacertidae
Source: RefSeq, a predicted model, not a curated record
CUCCCUGCUGCAGAUGUUUGCAGAGGGCUGUGGGGACUGAGCCCCUGCUGUGACAGAGGGGUGAGAGCAGCGCACAUGUCCCUGCCCUGACACGUUCUCCCUUUGUUCCAGGAAAGGACCUCUUCUCCAGACCGUCAAUAACCUCCUGCGAGCAGUGACCGACAUUCUGGAAAAGACGGUUCCCCAUCUGCUGCAGAAAGAGCUCUGCCCACUUGUCAACAUGCUUCUAGAAGAUGUGCUGAAUUUGCUGCAAGGCUCCUCGUCCUCCUAUGUGCACGGAGACAUGAUCCAGCUGCGACCCUCAUCCACCUCUCUCCGCAACGGAGUCAUGCAAAUUGGC